Long non-coding RNA from Coffea arabica (coffee), 492 nucleotides. RefSeq lists it as uncharacterized. The record is from RefSeq and is a predicted model, not a curated record. NCBI's taxonomy places the organism in Eukaryota, Viridiplantae, Streptophyta, Magnoliopsida, Gentianales, Rubiaceae.
GCAGACUUCGCCAAGCAAACGCUGCAAAGGCUUUCAUCAAAGGAUUAUAGAAUAUUUCAUCAAGUUGAUUAACAAGAAACAUGGAAAGAACAUCAGCAACCACAAUAGACCACUUGGAAAACUGAGGGAAGCUGAACGUGCCAAAAGAGCUUUAAGCAGCCAGCAGCAAGUUAGGACUCAUGCUUGAUUUGACGAGUUGAACAAUGACCUCUUUAGCAAAAACAUGGGACUUGUCAAGAAGGCUAUGGGGGAUGCUGGUUUGGAGAACCACCAGAUGCAUGAAAUUGUUCCUGUUAGUGGGGCUACCAGGAUCCCAAAAGUCCAAUAACUUCUCAAGGACUACUUUGAUGGAAAGGAACCCAACAAGAGUGUAAAACCAGAUGAAGCAGUGGCUUAUGGGGGUGGUGUUCAAGGAGGUAUUCUAAGCCGGAAAGGUGGUGAUGAAAGCAAAGAUAAAUGCUAUUCAUACUAGCUUUUGGAAGAUAUCUAUGG